Long non-coding RNA from Microplitis mediator, 510 nucleotides. RefSeq lists it as uncharacterized. NCBI's taxonomy places the organism in Eukaryota, Metazoa, Arthropoda, Insecta, Hymenoptera, Braconidae. The transcript is spliced from 3 exons. The record is from RefSeq and is a predicted model, not a curated record.
UAAAUCAAUUUAUUAAAAUCUUUUUCAGAUAUUUUUUUGGGUGGAAAAAAUAUUUUUUUACUAUUAACAAUAUUCGUUAGUAUUAACAAAAUCUAUUUUUUAUGAGAACAAAAUUUUUGUAACUAUUAAGAAGCUUUAAUAUAUUGAAAAAAAUAUUUAUUUCCACCAAAUAAGAUUUGUUAAUAGUUAAAAAAUAUUUUGUUGGUGGUCGGUGUUGAUAGAUGGCUAUACUUAAAAACAAUUAAUAAAAUGGAAGCUUUGCUACAAUCGUGGGAUUUAAGUGAGUUAUACUCGAUUUUUUGUGUAAACCAUAUAACUGACUUUGAAAUCCUUGGUGAAUUCCUUACUAAAACUCGAGAAGAGACCCAAAAAGAAGUAAUCCCUAGUGUUUGUUUACGACUUCGUUUAAAUAAAAAAUAUAAUGAAUAUAUUUCCCAUCACGAGAAGAUUAAUGUAAAACUUUUCUAAAAAUAAUAAGAGGAAUUUUUUAAAUAUUAAUAAAUCAUUUUU